GCCAUGCCGCGUGAGUGAUGAAGGCCUUCGGGUUGUAAAACUCUUUCGACGGGGACGAUAAUGACGGUACCCGUAGAAGAAGCUCCGGCUAACUUCGUGCCAGCAGCCGCGGUAAUACGAAGGGGGCUAGCGUUGUUCGGAAUUACUGGGCGUAAAGCGCGCGCAGGCGGUCUUCCAAGUCAGUGGUGAAAGCCCGGAGCUCAACUCCGGAACUGCCAUUGAAACUGUUAGACUUGAGGACGAGAGAGGUGAGUGGAAUUCCCAGUGUAGAGGUGAAAUUCGUAGAUAUUGGGAAGAACACCAGUGGCGAAGGCGGCUCACUGGCUCGUUUCUGACGCUCAGGCGCGAUAGCGUGGGGAUCAAACAGGAUUAGAUACCCUGGUAGUCCACGCCGUAAACGAUGGAUGCUAGCCGUUGGGCAGCUUGCUGUUCAGUGGCGCAGCUAACGCAUUAAGCAUCCCGCCUGGGGAGUACGGCCGCAAGGUUGAAACUCAAAGGAAUUGACGGGGGCCCGCACAAGCGGUGGAGCAUGUGGUUUAAUUCGACGCAACGCGCAGAACCUUACCAGGGUUUGACAUCCUACGACCGCUCCCUAAUAGGAGUUUUCCCGCAAGGGACGUA
Molecule: ribosomal RNA, 621 nt
Filed under: alpha proteobacterium So3Pw_2796
Lineage: Bacteria; Pseudomonadati; Pseudomonadota; Alphaproteobacteria
Description: bacterial SSU rRNA
Rfam family: Bacterial small subunit ribosomal RNA
Source: RNAcentral